Molecule: unclassified non-coding RNA, 225 nt
Filed under: plant metagenome
Description: partial contains small subunit ribosomal RNA, internal transcribed spacer 1, and 5.8S ribosomal RNA
Source: RNAcentral
UCUCCGUUGGUGAACCAGCGGAGGGAUCAUUACAGGACUCGCAAGACUCCUACAACCCUAUGAACUUAACUAUAAGCACGUUGCUUCGGCGGGUGUCUCGGAGGGGGUUCUCCCUCCCCGAGACGCUAAACCCGCCGGCAGCCUACUAUACUCUGUCUCUUUGCGUUGGCAUCUCGAGUACAAUCAAACAAGUUAAAACUUUCAACAACGGAUCUCUUGGUUCUG